This 481-nucleotide ribosomal RNA is filed under the name uncultured bacterium. Its description in RNAcentral is "bacterial SSU rRNA". It matches the Rfam family "Bacterial small subunit ribosomal RNA", at positions 37 to 507 of the family's 1533-position model. The record is from RNAcentral.
UGGCGGCAAGCCUUACACAUGCAAGUCGAGCGGUAACAUUUCUAGCUUGCUAGAAGAUGACGAGCGGCGGACGGGUGAGUAAAGCAUAGGAAUCUGGCCAAUAGAGGGGGAUAGCCCGGAGAAAUCCGGAUUAAUACCGCAUACACUCUAUGGAGAAAAAGCAGGGGGAUCUUCGGACCUUGCGCUAUUGGAUGAGCCUAUGUCGGAUUAGUUAGUUGGUGGGGUAAAGGCCUACCAAGGCAGCGAUCCGUAGCUGGUCUUAGAGGAUGAUCAGCCACAUCGGGACUGAGACACGGCCCGAACUCCUACGGGAGGCAGCAGUGGGGAAUAUUGCACAAUGGGCGCAAGCCUGAUGCAGCUAUGCCGCGUGUGUGAAGAAGGCCUUAGGGUUGUAAAGCACUUUCAGUAGUGAGGAAAAGUGUUGUGUUAAUAGCGCAAUGCCGUGACGUUAGCUACAGAAGAAGGACCGGCAAACUCCGUG